CACACAUCCCCUAGUGUUUUAUCCAACACACACACAAAAAAAACAAACACACCCACUGAUACGCACACAACCGGCACACAAAGUGCCGAAGUGCACACGGGGUACCAUUUAACAGCUUUAUCGAACCUUAACAUCAGAUUCUCACGACACUUGGUCAUUUUUAGUAUUUUGCCAAUUCAAAUAAAUCACAUAAGCCUGUUUUAUAAACUGUGUGUGCCCUGUGUUGCAGCGCCAACGUACACAUGUUGAGUUGUCUGUCUUUUAGCCGUUGUUCGUUUCAGCACCACGGACAGCAGCUCCUCUGAACGGCACCGCGCACAGACAGAUGGUUUGCUGUUGGAACCUCUAUGCUGCUAAAUCUGCCUCGUGGAAUUUUGUUUUUUGUAUGCAUCCAACCAGAACAACAGAUCCAGACUCUGAGGCUAUACCGAUCCGGAGCAGACACCGGUUUCUCCCCGAUGACGUAAUGCUGCGUGAGUGGCUGCUUCCAUCCAGCAGAUGGCGUUAACCUCGGCUGCUGCCGCUGCCACCCGGCCUCCGUCAAGUGACGUCACCGAGGUGGUGACUGUGCCGUGGUGACGUCAACUUCCCGUGGUGCAGAAUUUUGUCAUCAUUUAGGUCGUGACUAGGGACCACCAGCCCUGAGUGACACAGUCGUGCCACAGCAGAGCAGAUCUUUGGUGCAGACCUCAGACUAUAAAUACACCCUGAGGAGGACAGAGAGGCCCCGCUUUAAUGCCUCUUGUCUUUACAUCUAACUCUAAUAAUGCUUACUGUUGGUAAACUCAACACAUAGCCCACAGUAAAUAGAAUAACAGGUGUGAAAUGUUAAAUGCCAUGGGUUAAUGCAUACAAAGUAUCAUGAAGGCCAGGUUUUCACUGGUGUUUAUACAUUUGAGUGGGAAACCACACCACAUGUUUCAAAACUUUUCCCGCAUCCAAGUGUCUCAUCAGGGACAGACAAAGACAUGAAACUGACCGUGGAGUCGAGCCAGACCAGCCCAUCUCAUAGCUGAAUGAUGGUGAAAUACAGAGGGGGAAAAAACAUAGGCCUGGUAGUUACUGGGCAAAUGUAGUGUGUGGGAAAGAAUUCGCAGAAAAACACUUUUGAACAAGUACAAGUGAAUGAAUUCCGAGCAUUUAUCAUAGGUCUGUAAUUUAAAAAAAUGCAUGUCGAAAUAAAGUUAAAAUGGUGCAACAGCAGGGAAAAAAACACAAACUGUCACUUUUUUUGGGGGGGGGGCUGAACCCCAAACCCCAUGUGGUACAUCCAGAAGCAUUAUCAAAUGUACUGUAAGUGAUGACAUUCAAAACAUUUGCUGCUAUAACCUAUGGUUGUGUUGAAUAUUAUCACCAGAUAAGCUUAGAUAAGCUAAUGUGAAAUGGUAGUCUGUUGUCAGUGACUAUUGGAACUCAUUUCAGUAAUGGAUAGAACAUCUUUUCUUUGGUUGGGUUACAUUCUGAUCAUGAAGUAAAGUAGCUAAGCUGCUACUGUAUAAAGAAGAUAUUCCCACAGGUGGACUCCAUAUCCAAGACUUUAAUAAAGGGAAUAUACCGACAUCUAGUGGACAGAAAACACUGCACGUACAGGGAGAGAAUGUAAACCUCUUCACCACUCACGAGUUCCUACAUCACACAUUCCUACAUUUUAGCUUAAGUUUGCUAACAUUAGCUAAAAUUUAGCAACCAAAAGCUUUUAGUCAUGCCAGAACAAGUAAGGCACUGUUGAAAGUUGCAACACCCUCCCCCCAAUUUUCUCAACUAAACCUUCAUUUCAAGCUCAAUAUGUUAAUGGGACAAAUUUUUUUGACAUUACAUUGCCUAAAUUAGAAGUGGAAUUAGCAAUUGCCCAAAUGAUGUUAAACAUAACAAAUGGUGCGGCCUGUUUACCGAGCAGUCUAGCUUCUGUAGAAUGUUACACACGCAAUCCACACAACUUUUUCACAUAACUAUUUUGAUGUAACUAUUCAAUCGUUGUUGUUUUUUUACAGUAAAUCUCACAAGAAAAGGGUGAAAUAAAAUAUAAAUCGGAGGCAUGGAAAAAUGAAAGACCUUCCCCAACCCUCCCCAAAAAAUCUGAUUACCUACCCUUUAGCAAAAAGAAAAAAAAAAUACAUAA
Molecule: long non-coding RNA, 2119 nt
Organism: Siniperca chuatsi (mandarin fish)
Lineage: Eukaryota; Metazoa; Chordata; Actinopteri; Centrarchiformes; Sinipercidae
Exons: 2
Source: RefSeq, a predicted model, not a curated record